CCUACGGGUGGCUGCAGUAAGGAAUAUUGGUCAAUGGACGAAAGUCUGAACCAGCCAUGCCGCGUGGAGGAUGAAGGUCCUCUGGAUUGUAAACUUCUUUUAUCUGGGACGAAAAAAGGUUUUUCUAAACCAACUGACGGUACCAGAUGAAUAAGCACCGGCUAACUCCGUGCCAGCAGCCGCGGUAAUACGGAGGGUGCAAGCGUUAUCCGGAUUCACUGGGUUUAAAGGGUGCGUAGGCGGGUUGAUAAGUCAGUGGUGAAAUCCCCAAGCUU
Molecule: ribosomal RNA, 275 nt
Filed under: uncultured bacterium
Lineage: Bacteria
Description: partial 16S ribosomal RNA
Rfam family: Bacterial small subunit ribosomal RNA
Source: RNAcentral